RNAcentral lists this ribosomal RNA (253 nucleotides) under uncultured bacterium. RNAcentral describes it as "partial 16S ribosomal RNA". It matches the Rfam family "Bacterial small subunit ribosomal RNA", at positions 524 to 776 of the family's 1533-position model. The record is from RNAcentral.
UACGGAGGGUGCAAGCGUUAAUCGGAAUUACUGGGCGUAAAGCGCGCGUAGGCGGCUUUGUAAGUUAGAGGUGAAAGCCCGGGGCUCAACCCCGGAACUGCCUUUAAGACUGCAUCGCUUGAAUCCGGGAGAGGUGAGUGGAAUUCCGAGUGUAGAGGUGAAAUUCGUAGAUAUUCGGAAGAACACCAGUGGCGAAGGCGGCUCACUGGACCGGUAUUGACGCUGAGGUGCGAAGGCGUGGGGAGCAAACAGG